Molecule: long non-coding RNA, 302 nt
Filed under: Arachis ipaensis
Lineage: Eukaryota; Viridiplantae; Streptophyta; Magnoliopsida; Fabales; Fabaceae
Description: long non-coding RNA (AIPA_LNC000050)
Source: RNAcentral
CCGAUCGAAAACAAAUCAGUGGGGCCAUGCCGGUACGACUGAAUAUGCGUUAAAAAGGUCCCCUACGACACAAAAAAAACCGGGCCGAACUUCUAACAGCCCGCCCGCUUCCAUAGAACAAUAUCGUGGCAACGUAGACCUAAGUGGUCAUAUAUAUAUUGGAUCUUUGGGAACCAUCACAAGUGCGGCCGGCCUCUAUUUAAACGAGAAUGUCGUGUCGUCCAGCGGAGCCUAGAAGAUGACUCGCGCAGACAGUUGACUCCUUCUUUUCAAUAGAAAGGAAUAGCCAAACCAACCCAGCU